RNAcentral lists this ribosomal RNA (253 nucleotides) under uncultured bacterium. RNAcentral's name for it is "partial 16S ribosomal RNA". It matches the Rfam family "Bacterial small subunit ribosomal RNA", at positions 524 to 776 of the family's 1533-position model. The record is from RNAcentral.
UACGAAGGGGGCUAGCGUUGCUCGGAUUGACUGGGCGUAAAGGGCGCGUAGGCGGUUCGUACAGUCAGACGUGAAAUUCCUGGGCUCAACCUGGGGGCUGCGUUUGAUACGUGCGGACUUGAGUGCGGAAGAGGGUCGUGGAAUUCCCAGUGUAGAGGUGAAAUGUGUAGAGAUCGGGAGGAACACCGGUGGCGAAGGCGGGUCUCUGGGCAAUUCCUGACGCUGAGGCGCGAAAGCGUGGGGAGCAAACGGG